This 468-nucleotide ribosomal RNA is filed under the name uncultured bacterium. Its description in RNAcentral is "partial 16S ribosomal RNA". It matches the Rfam family "Bacterial small subunit ribosomal RNA", at positions 28 to 507 of the family's 1533-position model. The record is from RNAcentral.
GAUGAACGCUGGCGGCGUGCUUAACACAUGCAAGUCGAACGGUGAAGGCGGAGCUUGCUCUGCUGGAUCAGUGGCGAACGGGUGAGUAACACGUGAGCAAUCUGCCCCUGACUCUGGGAUAAGCGCUGGAAACGGCGUCUAAUACUGGAUACGAGCUGCGAAGGCAUCUUCAGCAGCUGGAAAGAAUUUCGGUCAGGGAUGAGCUCGCGGCCUAUCAGCUUGUUGGUGAGGUAAUGGCUCACCAAGGCGUCGACGGGUAGCCGACCUGAGAGGGUGACCGGCCACACUGGGACUGAGACACGGCCCAGACUCCUACGGGAGGCAGCAGUGGGGAAUAUUGCACAAUGGGCGAAAGCCUGAUGCAGCAACGCCGCGUGAGGGACGACGGCCCUCGGGUUGUAAACCUCUUUUAGCAGGGAAGAAGCGAAAGUGACGGUACCUGCAGAAAAAGCGCCGGCUAACUACGUG